AGGAUGAACGCUGGCGGCGUGCCUAAUACAUGCAAGUCGAGCGGUAAGGCCACUUCGGUGGUACACGAGCGGCGGACGGCUGAGUAACACGUAGGAACGUACCCCAAAGUGAGGCAUAAGCACCAGAAAUGGUGUCUAAUACCGCAUGUGAUCUUCGGAUUAAAGCUUCGGCGCUUUGGGAACGGCCUGCGCAUGAUUAGCUUGUUGGUGAGGUAAUAGCUCACCAAGGCGACGAUCAUUAGCUGGUCUGAGAGGAUGACCAGCCAGACUGGGACUGAGAACGGCCCAGACUCCUACGGGAGGCAGCAGUAGGGAAUUUUCCACAAUGGGCGAAAGCCUGAUGGAGCAACGCCGCGUGCAGGAUGAAUGCCUUCGGGUUGUAAACUGCUUUUAUAUGUGACGAUUAUGACGGUAGCAUAUGAAUAAGGAUCGGCUAACUCCGUGCCAGCAGCCGC
Molecule: ribosomal RNA, 455 nt
Filed under: uncultured bacterium
Lineage: Bacteria
Description: SSU rRNA
Rfam family: Bacterial small subunit ribosomal RNA
Source: RNAcentral